CGGACGGGUGAGUAACACGUGGAUAACCUACCUAUAAGACUGGGAUAACUUCGGGAAACCGGAGCUAAUACCGGAUAAUAUUUUGAACCGCAUUGUUCAAAAGUGAAAGACGGUCUUGCUGUCACUUAUAGGUGGAUCCGCGCUGCAUUAGCUAGUUGGUAAGGUAACGGCUUACCAAGGCAACGAUGCAUAGCCGACCUGAGAGGGUGAUCGGCCACACUGGAACUGAUACACGGUCCAG
This 241-nucleotide ribosomal RNA is filed under the name uncultured Staphylococcus sp. RNAcentral's name for it is "partial 16S ribosomal RNA". It matches the Rfam family "Bacterial small subunit ribosomal RNA", at positions 99 to 334 of the family's 1533-position model. The record is from RNAcentral. Lineage: Bacteria; Bacillati; Bacillota; Bacilli; Caryophanales; Staphylococcaceae.